RNAcentral lists this small RNA (221 nucleotides) under bovine gut metagenome. RNAcentral's name for it is "RT-2 RNA". It matches the Rfam family "RT-2 RNA", at positions 4 to 202 of the family's 222-position model. Rfam says of the family: Coriobacteriales (Actinobacteria), Clostridiales (Firmicutes). The record is from RNAcentral.
GGCCUGCCAAAGUAAGCCCAAGAAGGGCUGAAAUCCGUGCCUCUAUUAUGGAAGGAGCCGAUAACCGUCCCGUACUUUGAAAAAGGAGGGUAAAUAUGUACGACGAUGCAAGGGGCGGACGCUGCUUGCAUGGGCGGGCCAGCGCAACAGCUCGCUUUCAUGCCCCGAUGCUAAGCAGGUAGAACGGCGCUCGAUAAUAAGGCCUGUACGCCGUACCGAAU